This 700-nucleotide ribosomal RNA is filed under the name Kocuria palustris. RNAcentral's name for it is "bacterial SSU rRNA". It matches the Rfam family "Bacterial small subunit ribosomal RNA", at positions 617 to 1313 of the family's 1533-position model. Lineage: Bacteria; Bacillati; Actinomycetota; Actinomycetes; Micrococcales; Micrococcaceae. The record is from RNAcentral.
GGGUGUGCAGUGGGUACGGGGCAGACUAGAGUGCAGUAGGGGAGACUGGAAUUCCUGGUGUAGCGGUGGAAUGCGCAGAUAUCAGGAGGAACACCGAUGGCGAAGGCAGGUCUCUGGGCUGUUACUGACGCUGAGGAGCGAAAGCAUGGGGAGCGAACAGGAUUAGAUACCCUGGUAGUCCAUGCCGUAAACGUUGGGCACUAGGUGUGGGGGACAUUCCACGUUUUCCGCGCCGUAGCUAACGCAUUAAGUGCCCCGCCUGGGGAGUACGGCCGCAAGGCUAAAACUCAAAGGAAUUGACGGGGGCCCGCACAAGCGGCGGAGCAUGCGGAUUAAUUCGAUGCAACGCGAAGAACCUUACCAAGGCUUGACAUAUACCGGAUCGUUCCAGAGAUGGUUCUUCCCCUUUGGGGUCGGUAUACAGGUGGUGCAUGGUUGUCGUCAGCUCGUGUCGUGAGAUGUUGGGUUAAGUCCCGCAACGAGCGCAACCCUCGUUCCAUGUUGCCAGCACGUGAUGGUGGGGACUCAUGGGAGACUGCCGGGGUCAACUCGGAGGAAGGUGGGGAUGACGUCAAAUCAUCAUGCCCCUUAUGUCUUGGGCUUCACGCAUGCUACAAUGGCCGGUACAAAGGGUUGCGAUACUGUGAGGUGGAGCUAAUCCCAAAAAGCCGGUCUCAGUUCGGAUUGAGGUCUGCAACUC